GAUCCUGGCUCAGGACGAACGCUGGCAGCGUGCCUAAUACAUGCAAGUCGAGCGGAUCAAUUAAGAGCUUGCUCUUAAUUGAUCAGCGGCGGACGGGUGAGUAACACGUGGGCAACCUGCCUUACAGACUGGGAUAACUCCGGGAAACCGGGGCUAAUACUGGAUGAUCAAUGGAAUUGCAUAAUUCUAUUGUAAAAGUUGGGAUUUAUCCUAACACUGUGAGAUGGGCCCGCGGCGCAUUAGCUAGUUGGUGAGGUAACGGCUCACCAAGGCAACGAUGCGUAGCCGACCUGAGAGGGUGAUCGGCCACACUGGAACUGAGACACGGUCCAGACUCCUACGGGAGGCAGCAGUAGGGAAUCAUCCGCAAUGGGCGAAAGCCUGACGGUGCAACGCCGCGUGAACGAUGAAGGUCUUCGGAUUGUAAAGUUCUGUUGUUAGGGAAGAACAAGUGCCAUUCGAAUAGGUCGGCACCUUGACGGUACCUAACCAGAAAGCCCCGGCUAACUACGUGCCAGCAGCCGCGGUAAUACGUAGGGGGCAAGCGUUGUCCGGAAUUAUUGGGCGUAAGGCGCGCGCAGGCGGUCUCUUAAGUCUGAUGUGAAAGCCCACGGCUCAACCGUGGAGGGUCAUUGGAAACUGGGGGACUUGAGUGUAGGAGAAGAAAAGUGGAAUUCCACGUGUGGCGGUGAGAUGCGUA
This 700-nucleotide ribosomal RNA is filed under the name uncultured bacterium. RNAcentral describes it as "bacterial SSU rRNA". It matches the Rfam family "Bacterial small subunit ribosomal RNA", at positions 15 to 692 of the family's 1533-position model. The record is from RNAcentral.